This 678-nucleotide ribosomal RNA is filed under the name Triticum aestivum (bread wheat). Its description in RNAcentral is "partial small subunit ribosomal RNA". Lineage: Eukaryota; Viridiplantae; Streptophyta; Magnoliopsida; Poales; Poaceae. The record is from RNAcentral.
AUGCAAAGAAAUUGCUGGAACAGUUCACGCAACAGGCAUGCCCGAAGGGCCGUUCCUCAUGCCCGACAACGGCUGUGGCUGGGAGGAUCUCCAGCGCUACAGCAAUCCAUGCUACGUGCUUUUCAUGACAGCACAGUUGGAGGUCAUUCGGGCUUUCCUGUGACUUAUCGGUGCCUCCGCAGGCUCUUUGCGUGGCCGAAGAUGAAGCAGAUCAUCAGAGAGUACGUGCAGCAGUGCACAGUUUGCCAGCAAGCAAAACCGGAGAGGGUUAAAUACCCUGGUCUGCUCGAACCUAUCCCAAUUCCGAGGGGCCUGGCAAGUUGUGACAAUGGACUUCAUCGAUGGCCUCCCACAAUCAGGCAGAGCGAAUUGCAUCCUCGUCGUGGUGGACAAGUUCACGCGAUAUGCACAUUUUUUACCUCUCCAACAUCCAUUCACAGCAGCCAGGGUAGCUCGCUCCUACUUGGACAAUGUGUACAAGCUGCACGGUCUGCCCAAGGCCAUCAUCUCAGACAGGGAUCCAGUGUUUACAAACAAGUUCUGGCGCGAGCUGUUUACCUGCAUAGGCUCGGAACUGAAGAUGAGCACCCCGUAUCAUCCACAUACGGAUGGACAAUCAAAAAGAGUGAAUCAGUGCCUCGAGAUUUAUCUGAGAUGCUCCAUCCAUGCCUGUCCUAA